Vicia villosa (hairy vetch) is the source of this 2212-nucleotide long non-coding RNA. RefSeq lists it as uncharacterized. NCBI's taxonomy places the organism in Eukaryota, Viridiplantae, Streptophyta, Magnoliopsida, Fabales, Fabaceae. The record is from RefSeq and is a predicted model, not a curated record. The transcript has 5 exons.
UAAAUCAAUUUCAUUUUCCCUCUUUCAUUAGCCAAUUUCACUUUAAUAAUAAUUUAAUAACUAUUUCUCUUUUUCAAUUGUUUUCUCACGUUUCCUUUUCUUUUCUUUUUCUUCUUUCCAUUGUUCUCCCGGGUUUUUGCAGCCCCAUCCCCUAACCCUAGUUUUCAACAUGUCAAACAACCACCAUACAUCACAACAUUGCCCGUCUACCUCACUCAUACUGCUUCGACCGCCACUCUUCAUUUUCUUUCCAGUUGCAGGGAAGUUUUUAUCAUUAUUCCGUGGUUGUGUGAAAUUGGUGCUUUAGGGAUUGUGUACAUGAGAUGCAUCUAGUUGAUAUUCAAGGGAAAUAAUGGUUGAAGUUGAGGAUAAUGAUGAUGGGAAGCUUGAAUGAAGACAGUGAAGUUGAGAGAAGUUUUACUUUGUCUUCACUUCACUCCUACAAAUUUCCAACUCAAACUGUGUACAAAAUAUUCAGGUUUAGACCUUGUUACCCAACUGUGGCAUCUUAUGUGUUUCCUUAAGAUUUAUGGCUAAAGCUUUGUUCCAAGGCAUUUAAGUUUAAAGAUACACUUUUUUUUUUGAAAAGUCUAAGGUAUGAAAGAUUGUUGUUGAUGAUGUUUUGUAAAAUGGAAUGUGAUUGUUGUAUUAUGAUCACAUCAAAUUUUUUAGGAUGUUGAGAAUACUUGAUAAGGUUUCUUAUGGGACAACACUUAAUGUAUCCAUUAUAAUUGUUUACGCUGCAAUAAUUGCUCUUAUAACUAGCAGCCAAAGGUACUUCACAACUGAGAUAUCUCAAUUAGUAGUUUAUUUUGAAAACUUUUGUGGUCUCAAUUCACUCAUAAUAUUUAUUAUUUACAGCAAGGAGGACAAUCGCGUAUGACAUGGAGACAAAUCUUAUGAUUUAGAAUUCACUUUCUUCAUUAAUCCAGCAGAUUUAUUAUGGUAAUUAUUUACUUGUCUUUAUUAUGUGAGCCAAAAAUGGAGGAAAUAGAAGUGUCAAGUUCCAUCCUGUGUCAUGUUUGGAAGACUUUUUAAUGAAAUGGGUAGAUAGAAAGACUAUUGAUUUUGUGCUUAUGAGAGUUUAAGUUAUAGAUAAGUUAUGUCAUCUAAUAAGAUUUUGUUCUUUGAACUAUAUUCUGUUCAAAAUUAUUGAGUAAAGGGCUAUACCAGCUGUACAACUUGUACAUAACAAUUUGUUGAUAGAAAACCUUGAUUAUACCUUAGAAGUUUCUGCCUCUUACUCUAAUACCCUUUUCAAGUAGUUGAAAGCAUGGUUUUAAAUUGCGGUCCGCAUCCGCAAUUGCACCCGCAAUAUUGCGGAUGCGGUUGCCUCCGCAACCGCAUCGGACCGCAAUUGCAGUGUGAUUUUAAAGUCUCGCUUCCGUAUGUAUUAGGAACCCCAUCGGACAAUUUUAAUCAUGUUUUUUUUAAGUAUUUUCAUCAAAAAUCAAUAUAUUAGAAUUUUAAAACUCAAUUUACUUCUUAUAUAAUGAAAAAACAUAACAUGAAGUGUUUUUCAAUAUAAUAUUUUAAACACUUCCUUUUAAAAAUUCACGCCGCAACGGCCGCAAUGCGCAUCGCAACAAGCGCAAUGACCGCAAUCGCAACAUCCGCAACCGCAUCCGCAGCCGCAACCGCAAUUUAAAACCAUGGUUGAAAGCACAUACUUAUGGUCAUUGCUUACAAAUAUUUUGAAUUUGAUAAUGACCAGAAAGUUAUGGUGAAAGCACAUAAGAGUCAUGUUAUUGUCUCUUGGUCAAAACUUUAACUUGAUCAUGAAGGGACAAUUUAUUAUUCCAUCAAUCCUAUGUGAAUAAUAUCAACAACAACUACAAGAAAUAGAUCAUCAUUACUCAAAGGGGAAAAAGUUCAUUUACAUUUUUUUAGGGGCUGAAGGAAAGGAGACUCAUAUUUGGAACUUGCAGCCUAUGCAUAAUUUGUCUCCUAAAUGUAUAGAAGACUUCAAUCAAGGGAUGCAAAAGUUAACCAUGCAUGAUACAAACUAGAAAAAGGUUUAACUUACCUAAUCCCACUUGCUUAGUGUGACUAGAAUUUUAAGUUCUGUUAGAUACAAAUUAGAAAAAGGUUGAACUUACCUUAUCCCACUUGUUUGGUGUGGCUAGUAAUAAACCAUGUGAAGAUCAGAUUAUUGAUGUAAUUUAUUUAUGGCUAUUGAUUUAAUAAUAUUAUACUAAGAUAUCACAAUGUA